GGUCUCGUAGUAUAACGGUUAGUACAACGGGUUUUCAUCCCGUCAACGCGGGUUCGACUCCCGCCGAGAUCACCA
This 75-nucleotide transfer RNA is filed under the name Candidatus Saccharimonadota bacterium. RNAcentral describes it as "tRNA-Glu". It matches the Rfam family "tRNA". Rfam says of the family: Transfer RNA (tRNA) molecules are approximately 80 nucleotides in length. Their secondary structure includes four short double-helical elements and three loops (D, anti-codon, and T loops). The record is from RNAcentral. RNAcentral also lists the same sequence under 1 other name. Lineage: Bacteria; Candidatus Saccharimonadota.